GAUGAAGAACGUAGCGAAAUGCGAUAAGUAAUGCGAAUUGCAGAAUUUCCGUGAAUCAUCGAAUCUUUGAACGCACAUUGCGCCCCUUGGUAUUCCAUGGGGCAUGCCUGUUCGAGCGUCAUUUGUACCUUCAAGCUUUGCUUGGUGUUGGGUGUUUGUCUCGCCUCCGCGUGUAGACUCGCCUCAAAACAAUUGGCAGCCGGCGUAUUGAUUUCGGAGCGCAGUACAUCUCGCGCUUUGCACUCACAACGACGACGUCCAAAAGUACAUUUUUACACUCUUGACCUCGGAUCAGGUAGGGAUACCCGCUGAACUUAAGCAUAUCAAUAAGCGGAGGA
This 338-nucleotide unclassified non-coding RNA is filed under the name soil metagenome. RNAcentral's name for it is "partial contains 5.8S ribosomal RNA, internal transcribed spacer 2, and large subunit ribosomal RNA". The stretch from base 1 to 121 matches the Rfam family "5.8S ribosomal RNA", at positions 35 to 154 of the family's 154-position model. The record is from RNAcentral.